This 516-nucleotide ribosomal RNA is filed under the name uncultured bacterium. RNAcentral describes it as "bacterial SSU rRNA". It matches the Rfam family "Bacterial small subunit ribosomal RNA", at positions 32 to 524 of the family's 1533-position model. The record is from RNAcentral.
AAUCAACGCUGGCGGCGUGCCUAACACAUGCAAGUCGAACGCGAGAGUCCCGCAAGGGACAAUUGAGUGGCAAACGGGUGAGUAACACGUGGGUGACCUGCCUUCGAGUGGGGGAUAACGUCCCGAAAGGGACGCUAAUACCGCAUGACAUCCUGCCCUUGGACAGGCGGAGAUCAAAGCCGGGGAUCGCAAGACCCUGGCGCUUGAAGAGGGGCCCGCGUCUGAUUAGCAGUUGGUGAGGUAACGGCUCACCAAGGCGACGAUCAGUAUCCGGCCUGAGAGGGCGGACGGACACACUGGGACUGAGACACGGCCCAGGACUCCUACGGGAGGCAGCAGUGGGGAAUUGUUCGCAAUGGGCGCAAGCCUGACGACGCAACGCCGCGUGGAGGACGAAGAUCUUCGGGUCGUAAACUCCUGUCGAGUGGAAAGAAUAAUUCGGGGAUGAAUACUCCCGGAAUUGACGGUACCACUAAAGGAAGCCCCGGCUAACUCCGUGCCAGCCGCCGCCGUAAC